CAGACGCUCAUUUAGACCCAAACUUUGUUUUGAAAAAGGCCCAAUAUGAAGUGAGGCACCAAACUCGGAGCAACGAUACUGAAGAUCUGGCGACUGGGUUAACUCAUAACCCUUCUUGCAAGCGACCUACUGAGGAGUCGCCACCAUCUUCGGGCGGCUCAUCCGUAUCACAGCUGCCUACUUUUGUCAUCAACCCUGGGGCCAAAGCCAAGAGUAAGAAAAGAAAGUUUGAUGAUUCUUCAAAAGCCCCUGAAAUUCCUGAGUCGGAGGAGUAGGUGCUGGUACCUCUGAGGCCCACACCAGAAAUCCCGAAGGACCUCAUAACCAGCAGGAGGACCCGCCACCAGAAAAUGAAGCAACAACCGCUGAAAAUAUGAAUACUGAUGUUAACCCGACAUACAAUCAUGACCCGCCAAGUCCUAUUCCUUCUGCGUCAGAAGAAAUCCCUUUUGAAGAAAACACUGAUGACAUUGCCAUCCUUGGGGCGAGUCGAAGAAUGCCAGUCGCUAGAGCCAUCCACCAUGCUAGCUAAACACAUGUAUAAAGAAGAAGCGUCCUUGCUGGAGAAAGGCAAGUCUAAACUUGUGCUGCCCAAUUAUGAGGAAUUUAGUGCCGAAGAGCUUCAUGCUGGCUACUGAAGUCACCUAGCUACAAGCCGGGAUAUGGAGGCCAGCUUGGUUAGCAUGAUGAAGCGGA
This is a long non-coding RNA of Triticum dicoccoides, 696 nucleotides long. RefSeq lists it as uncharacterized. The transcript is spliced from 3 exons. The record is from RefSeq and is a predicted model, not a curated record. NCBI's taxonomy places the organism in Eukaryota, Viridiplantae, Streptophyta, Magnoliopsida, Poales, Poaceae.